CAGUGGUUUUACCCUAUGGUAGGUGAGCCUGCCAAGCGCUACCACAGGGUAGAACCACGGAC
RNAcentral lists this microRNA precursor (62 nucleotides) under Petromyzon marinus (sea lamprey). RNAcentral's name for it is "Pma-Mir-140-o2_pre stem-loop". Lineage: Eukaryota; Metazoa; Chordata; Hyperoartia; Petromyzontiformes; Petromyzontidae. The record is from RNAcentral.